RNAcentral lists this ribosomal RNA (250 nucleotides) under uncultured Chroococcidiopsis sp. Its description in RNAcentral is "partial 16S ribosomal RNA". It matches the Rfam family "Bacterial small subunit ribosomal RNA", at positions 796 to 1044 of the family's 1533-position model. Lineage: Bacteria; Bacillati; Cyanobacteriota; Cyanophyceae; Chroococcidiopsidales; Chroococcidiopsidaceae. The record is from RNAcentral.
CUAGCUGUAAACGAUGGAUACUAGGCGUUGAGAGUAUCGACCCUCUCAGUGUCGUAGCUAACGCGUUAAGUAUCCCGCCAGGGGAGUACGCGCGCAAGCGUGAAACUCAAAGGAAUUGACGGGGGCCCGCACAAGCGGUGGAGUAUGUGGUUUAAUUCGAUGCAACGCGAAGAACCUUACCAGGGCUUGACAUGUCCGGAACCCUGCCCAAAGGCGGGGGUGCCUACGGGAACCGGAACACAGGUGGUGC